This is a long non-coding RNA of Rana temporaria (common frog), 597 nucleotides long. RefSeq lists it as uncharacterized. NCBI's taxonomy places the organism in Eukaryota, Metazoa, Chordata, Amphibia, Anura, Ranidae. The record is from RefSeq and is a predicted model, not a curated record. The transcript has 4 exons.
UGAGUGCUAACUAGGACGGACGCCCAGUGUGGCCGCACGCCAUUGCAUCUCCUGGGAUUUCUCUGUGUUUCAUCACAGUCACAGCAUAAUCCUCAUCACUGCCGCAGUGCCAUCUAGUGGCAGUAUUUGAGUUGACCCUUAUCCUAGUCUCCAAUUCUCUGUUCCAAUUCAGAUACCCCGACUAGUUCUAACUUGCCCAAUGAUGUAUGGUGAAUGUGGGUAUGACCUAUAGUACCAGACUCCACCUUAUAAGGUAAAUGGUCUGAUUAUAAUUUGCAUCUUGGACGCUGUUGAGCACUCUUCAAAUCUACAAAAGCACCGUUUAUCGAAGCUCCCGAAGAAGCGACGACGUCGCGAAACAUGUCGAGCUGAACCCCAUUUUUAACCAGAACUCAUCCUGUACCAUCUUUUUGAAGUUACAACGCCACCCAGCGCCUAUAGUGUAUUCUAUACAUCUAGCCCUGUGGCUAAUAGCGGUGUCUUUAGAAAGUGAUAGGAUUUGAGCUCUUUUGUGUACUUUAUUGUUCAUUUUGUUCUUUUUUUCUUAUUAUUUUGAGCAAUUGUCUUGUAUACCCAUGCUUUGUAUUGUCUAAAUUA